This 1625-nucleotide long non-coding RNA is filed under the name Mus musculus (house mouse). RNAcentral's name for it is "long non-coding RNA chrX:159701220-159702845". The record is from RNAcentral. Lineage: Eukaryota; Metazoa; Chordata; Mammalia; Rodentia; Muridae.
UGUCCUGGCUAAUCUUAGGAGGAAGGAGUGGGUGGCUUUUCUUCUGCUUACUUAAAUGUCUUCCUUUUAAUGCAUGGAGGGAUGACUCCUCCUCUCUUUCCUUGGUGUUUUUUUUUUUUUUUUUUUUUUUGGAGGAGGAAGAUUUAUUUUAUACCUUCUUUGUCACCACUUCAGGGCCUGGGAAUGUGAAGUUGUAGUUGUAAGUAGAAACAUUUAUUUAGCCAUUAAAAAUGCAGUGCCUCUUUUCAUAACUGUAAAGAAUUUACAUUGCUUCAGCUGAUGAGCCUUACCAUAUAUCCCCUAGGUCUAUCUCUUGUCCUUGGUAGUGGCUGUUCCUAUGUUACAGGUGGGAACUGAAGCCUGAGGGGUUACCUGGCUUGACAGAGAUUGAAAAUCUGUUAUGGGCCCACCUUAGUACUUGAAGUCUGCCAGCCUAACCUUCCAGGAUUUAAGUGUAUGAACUAUGUAAAAUGAUAGACCUUUUAAGAAGGUUUUAUUUUAGUUUUAUUAUUUCUGUGUGUAUGUGUGUGGGUAUGUGCAUGUGAACGUAAGCGCCCAUGGAAUCUAGAAAAGAGCAGUGAAUCCCCGUGAGCUGGAGUUACAGGUGGAUGCGAAUUUCCUGACUUGGGUGUUAGGACCUAAAAUUGGGUCUUUUGCCAUAGCAGUAUAAGUUUUUAACCUUUGAGCCAUUUUUCCAGCCCCCAGCCCUUUUUGAGAUAGAGCCUCAUGUUGAUGUCCAACCUGUUUUGUAGCCAAGCUAGCCUUAAACUCCUGAACCCUGAUUCUCUUGCCUUUCCUUCCCACGUGCUAAGACUAUAGGUGCAUAACAACACAUUCAGUUGGAAGGAUGGCUUUUCUUAAAAAGAUUUGGAGGAAGAAAAUAACCAAAAACCAACUGUUGACAGCUACUUGAAUUCUUAUGCUUAGUAAACCUUUGUCAAAGCAUUGACUACUAAAACCACUUGGAGAAAUUGAUUGAAUAAGUGAACGUUUAACAGUGUAGCACUUGCUCAUUUGUCCUUAAAACUUGGAAUAGGUGAAACUGGAUAGGAAGUGAGGGAGGGAGUAAUGACUGACCUGUAAAAAAAAAAAAGUAAUAAAAAAUUAAAGAAAACAAAAAAAUCCCAGCUCUCCCCAAUUUUCUUAAUAAAUAAAUAGUUAAUAUCAACAUUACAAUCCCUAUGCUGUCUUCUUGUGAUAAACAUUUCUACAUAGUAUCAAUACUGUAUUGUGAAGGCAACAUUGCCUGACACUUUGCUAUCCAGAGCAUUCUGGAACUCAAGACUUGGUAUGAAUUCACUAUCAUGCUGGGCAGUGGUGACUCUCACCCUUAAUCCCAGCACUUGGGAGGCAGAGACAGGCAGAUUUCUGAUUUUGAGGCCAGCCUGGUCUACAGAGUGAGUUCCAGGACAGCCAGGGCUACACAGAGAAACCCUGUCUCAAAAAACAAAAUGAAACAACCCAAACCAACAACCAAGCAAGCAACCAACCAAGCAACCAACCAACCAAUCACAUUAAGGAUACAGUUGGAGAAAGAUCUGGUUAUAUUGGAUGAAGGGGUGAUUAUUGCCUGGUGAUAUAGCUCAGUGAGCAUGUGCUUAGCAUUGGGUUCCAUCCCUAUUCCC